Molecule: ribosomal RNA, 60 nt
Filed under: uncultured organism
Description: partial 16S ribosomal RNA
Source: RNAcentral
AGGGCUUGACAUGGGGAGGCUGUGUCCAGAGAUGGGCAUUCCCGCAAGGGCCUACUGCAC